UACGUAGGGGGCUAGCGUUGUCCGGAAUCAUUGGGCGUAAAGCGCGCGUAGGCGGCCAGAUAAGUCCGGUGUGAAAGUCACAGGCUCAACCUGUGAAUGCCGCUGGAAACUGUCUGGCUAGAGUCCGGAAGGGGCGAGUGGAAUUCCUGGUGUAGCGGUGAAAUGCGCAGAUAUCAGGAGGAACACCAAUGGCGAAGGCAGCUCACUGGGACGGUAUUGACGCUGAGACGCGAAAGCGUGGGGAGCAAACAGG
RNAcentral lists this ribosomal RNA (253 nucleotides) under uncultured bacterium. RNAcentral describes it as "partial 16S ribosomal RNA". It matches the Rfam family "Bacterial small subunit ribosomal RNA", at positions 524 to 776 of the family's 1533-position model. The record is from RNAcentral.